Cyprinodon tularosa is the source of this 871-nucleotide long non-coding RNA. RefSeq lists it as uncharacterized. The record is from RefSeq and is a predicted model, not a curated record. Lineage: Eukaryota; Metazoa; Chordata; Actinopteri; Cyprinodontiformes; Cyprinodontidae. The transcript has 4 exons.
GCUAUGAAAUUAAUUUAAUAGCUGAUAAUUAAUUUCAGUAUUAAUAAAGUAUGACAUUCUUUAAAUCAUUACAGGUUAGCUUCUCUGGCAUUAGGUUACCACAAAAAGACUAUCUUUAAAAACUAUUUGCUGUUGAUAAAUACUUUUUUUAACUUUUGCUAUUGGUCCAGAAUCACUAUUUAUAUUCAUGGCAGUCAGAUCCCAACUAAGACUAGGCUUUAAUGUUCUGAAAUGUAAAAUAAUGAAAUUAUUUCCUUGUUUGAAAUGUAGUCGAAUCGACUGCAGCAGCAACAGAAUCUGCUACAGUGGAAGACCAGAAAGAAGACCAGAAAACCAGAGAAGACAGAACUUUUCCUGCACUACUGAGUCUCAUCAUCCCUCUGGUUUCAUUGAUUUUGGUUGCUAUUGUGGCGUUAUUAGUACUGUUUAGAACCAAAUGUUCCAAAAUUCAAGAUUCAAGUGGCAGCUCCAACUUGGCUGAAAGGAAGACAAUGUGACACACAGUCAUCACAAGCAAAAUGUUUAAAUCAAUCGGUUUUUACAUUUUUUUCUGUUACAUGACUAAGGUUUAGACAACUUUGUUGUAAGGUCUCUUUGCAAGUGUGCAACAACGUAAUGGUUUAUUGUUUGACAUCAUGUAAAAAAAAAGCACUUGAUCAUAUCUUUUUUUAGAUUAAGUAUACACAUUCAACUGAUUAUGGAAAAACUUUAACCUCUUUAUCAGCUUCAGAGCAUAUUGAAUGCUUAUUGUUCCUCUUGAAUGCAAAUGAUUCAAAUGUUUAUAUUGUCUUUAUUUUGUUCUAAUUCUAAAUAAAUGUGUUUAAAUAUUUUACUUUAUUAGAAUCUAUGUCAACGCAGAAUAUUCAUUGUG